RNAcentral lists this unclassified non-coding RNA (1750 nucleotides) under Theloderma petilum. Its description in RNAcentral is "partial contains 12S ribosomal RNA, tRNA-Val, and 16S ribosomal RNA". The stretch from base 1 to 503 matches the Rfam family "Bacterial small subunit ribosomal RNA", at positions 794 to 1533 of the family's 1533-position model. Lineage: Eukaryota; Metazoa; Chordata; Amphibia; Anura; Rhacophoridae. The record is from RNAcentral.
GCUUAGCCGUAAAAAAUUUACUCACACAAACAACGCCAGGGCACUACGAGCCUCAGCUUAAAACCCAAAGGACUUGACGGUGUCCCACCCCACUAGAGGAGCCUGUUCCAUAAUCGAUAAUCCACGUUAUACCCAACCACCCUUUGCCUUUCAGCCUGUAUACCUCCGUCGUAAGCUUGCCAUGUGAACGCACAACAGCAAGCCAAAGGGCCAAAUUGCCAACACGUCAGGUCAAGGUGCAGCUCACAGAGUGGGGAGUAAUGGGCUACAAUUUCUAUCUUAGAACAAACGAAAUUCUAUAUGAAAUAUAGAUCAUGAAGGCGGAUUUAGCAGUAAAUAGGGAAUAGAGAGCCCUAUUAAAUACGGCCCUGGGACGUGUACAAACCGCCCGUCACCCUCUUCAACAACUACCAAACAAGUUUCUUAACCAAUUUCCCCAAACUAGAAGAGGAAAGUCGAAACAUGGUAAGUGUACUGGAAAGUGCACUUGGAAUAUCAAAAUGUAGCUUAAUAAAAGCCCCCCGCUUACACCGAGAAGUUGUCCGUGCAAUCAGAUCAUUUUGAGCCCCCUUCUAGCCCGUCCCACAACACAUACUACAACCACAAAAAAUUGUUAAGAUAAAACAUUUAAACUCCUUAGUAGAGGUGAUCGAAACUUAACUUGGCGCUUCAGAGAAAGUACCGCAAGGGAAACUUGAAAUAAAAAUGAAAUAACUAAGCCCGAAACAGCAGAGACAUUACCUCGUACCUUUCGCAUCAUGGCCUAGCUAGUCUAAUCAAGCAAGAUGAAAACCUAAGUUUGAACCCCCGAAACUAAGCGAGCUACUCCAAAACAGCUUUACGAGCUAACCCGUCUCUGUGGCAAUAGAGUGGGAAGAUUUUCUAGUAGAGGUGAUAAGCCUACCGAGCUUAGAAAUAGCUGGUUACUCAGAAAAAGAAUUUUAGUUCUGCCUUAAACCUUUACCCAGACACAAAACCGCCCCUAAAGUUUAAGAGUUAUUCAAUUAGGGCACAGCCUAUUUGAAACAGAAUACAAUCUAGACAACAGGGUAAACUUCUACAUCAUUAUACCCAGUAGGCCUAAAAGCAGCCACCUGUGAAAAAGCGUUAAAGCUUAAUUUAACCCACCCUCUAAUACCACUAAGAACCAUGAACCCUUCACCUAUACUGAGUGAUACUAUAAACAUAUAGUAGACACAAUGCUAGGACUAGUAACAAGAAUAUAAAAUUCUCCUAAAUAUUAGUAUAAACCAGAACGGAUCAACCACUGGUAAUUAACGGUAAUGAACCUACUGCAGCAACCCCACAAGAAAACCCUGCAUUCUCACCCGUUAACCUUACACUAGACUAUUUAAGGAAAGAUUAAUAGACAAAGAAGGAACUCGGCAAACUCUAACUCCGCCUGUUUACCAAAAACAUCGCCUCUUGCCUACUAUAAGAGGUCCAGCCUGCCCAGUGACAAAUUUAACGGCCGCGGUACCCUAACCGUGCAAAGGUAGCAUAAUCAUUUGUCCUUUAAAUAAGGACUUGUAUCAACGGAACCACGAGAGUUACACUGUCUCCUUUCUCUAAUCAGUGAAAAUGAUCUCCCCGUGAAGAAGCGGGGAUGAAACUAUAAGACGAGAAGACCCCAUGGAGCUUCAAACUGAACAGCAACUCUAUCACCUACCCCCACAUAAAAUAGAGAUAUGCACGUAAGCUUUGGGUUGGGGCGACCGCGGAGUAUAAGAUAACCUCCACAACGAAAAGA